CCUACGGGCGGCAGCAGUGGGGAAUAUUGGACAAUGGGCGAAAGCCUGAUCCAGCCAUGCCGCGUGUGUGAAGAAGGCCUUCGGGUUGUAAAGCACUUUCAGUGGGGAAGAAAGCCUUGGGGCUAAUACCCUCGAGGAAGGACAUCACCCACAGAAGAAGCACCGGCUAACUCCGUGCCAGUAGCCGCGGUAAUACGGAGGGUGCGAGCGUUAAUCGGAAUUACUGGGCGUAAAGCGCGCGUAGGCGGUCUGAUAAGCCGGUUGUGAAAGCCCCGGGCUCAACCUGGGAACGGCAUCCGGAACUGUCAGGCUAGAGUGCAGGAGAGGAAGGUAGAAUUCCCGGUGUAGCGGUGAAAUGCGUAGAGAUCGGGAGGAAUACCAGUGGCGAAGGCGGCCUUCUGGACUGACACUGACGCUGAGGUGCGAAAGCGUGGGUAGCAAACAGGAUUAGAUACCCGAGUAGUC
This 465-nucleotide ribosomal RNA is filed under the name Vreelandella stevensii. RNAcentral's name for it is "partial 16S ribosomal RNA". It matches the Rfam family "Bacterial small subunit ribosomal RNA", at positions 338 to 795 of the family's 1533-position model. Lineage: Bacteria; Pseudomonadati; Pseudomonadota; Gammaproteobacteria; Oceanospirillales; Halomonadaceae. The record is from RNAcentral.